This 377-nucleotide ribosomal RNA is filed under the name uncultured bacterium. RNAcentral describes it as "bacterial SSU rRNA". It matches the Rfam family "Bacterial small subunit ribosomal RNA", at positions 42 to 422 of the family's 1533-position model. The record is from RNAcentral.
UCAGGCCUAACACAUGCAAGUCGAACGGGAUUGGUAGCAAUACCAUGAGAGUGGCGCACGGGUGAGUAACGCGUAUGCAACCUGCCUUUAACUGAGGGAUAGCCCAUAGAAAUGUGGAUUAAUACCUCAUAGUUCUGAGAAGCUGCAUGGUUUUUCAGAUAAAGCUCCGGCGGUUAAAGAUGGGCAUGCGUGACAUUAGCUAGUUGGUAAGGUAACGGCUUACCAAGGCUACGAUGUCUAGGGGUUCUGAGAGGAUGAUCCCCCACACUGGUACUGAGACACGGCCCAGACUCCUACGGGAGGCAGCAGUGGGGAAUAUUGCACAAUGGGGGAAACCCUGAUGCAGACGUGCCGCGUGUGUGAAGAAGGCCUUCGGG